UUUUCUUGGAAUCUAACUUUCCCUUAAGAGCUACGCUAUCAUGAACAUGCUAAUGUGAUUUCCUUAAUAAAAUGUGGGAAAAUUAAAAAUAAUAUUAAAACAAGAUUAACCAUAUUUUUUAUUGGUUUAGGUUUUUUUUUUUCAAAAUCAAGCUGGGAUACUUUUAUUGAAGUAAAAAAACCCAAACAAAAGAAAAAGCCCAACAAAGUUAAAGACAAUCGACCUAAAGACCAACACUGGAGCCUAAACAUCAAAACCUGAACAAAAAAAUCUAAAAAUAAAAUAAAAUGAUAAAAUAAAAUAAAUGCCUAGAUAAUCCCAAUCUGUAAUUAAUGAUAUGUCUCCAACUUUCCUCUUUUCAAUAUUUUCUUUUCAUUUGGUCAGAUCCAGAAGCCUGAGAGUUUUGUGACCAAAUUCAAGAAAAGGGGCCUCUUAUCUCCCAGUUUACUAUUUCGCCUUCUCCUUUCAUCAAUCUAGUUCUUUUGGUCGUUUCAUCUCUAAUUGUCAUUGAGCAUAUCUAGGAAUACCUCCCAUCAGGUAAAUUGUUUCUUUCUUCUUUAGACCCAUCGUGGAUAGGUUAUGGGCUAACUAGUUAGCCGACUUGGAAACAAAAUGAAAAACUAAUGACCGAAAACUUUCUUUUUCCUUCUGAAUGUUUCUAUUGUGCGCACUAAUUUAUGAUUUAUCCACUAAUCUUUUGUUGCAUUUGUUAAUUAUGGAUCUGGAAUCCCCUUCUACUAAUACAUCUAUUAAACCCAAGUUGAUCCCUGUGAGCACAACUUCGAAACAGGUGAGGGCUUCUACGUAAAAGGUCGUGCCAACCGUCAUAUGCAAACAAGAGUUAGAGGCCAAAACUUUUUCGUUUGCAUUUCGUGCCACAAUCCUCAAAGUCGACUUAAGACACAAGCAAUCGAACAAAGCAUCAAAAUUGAUUUUAAUAGACUGACCUUUAGGUGGUUUCCAAUUCUCCUUCUUUCCCACAAAUGUAGUCUUUCUCUCUAUCAAACAAUCAAGUUCACGAACUUAGUUUUUGGUAAAAUUAGCUACUCCUAUUCCUGAGUGAGUUUUCCCUUCAUGCAGGUUCCUAUUUUUGUCUAACCAAGUCGACCAUAAUCCACAACCAAACAAGCAUUGUUGGGACUCCGUGUAACUUCUAAAUAUCCAGAUAAGCCAUUCAAAACAGUCCAUCU
RNAcentral lists this long non-coding RNA (1190 nucleotides) under Gossypium raimondii (Peruvian cotton). Its description in RNAcentral is "long non-coding RNA (GRAI_LNC008525)". Lineage: Eukaryota; Viridiplantae; Streptophyta; Magnoliopsida; Malvales; Malvaceae. The record is from RNAcentral.